RNAcentral lists this ribosomal RNA (2904 nucleotides) under Escherichia coli. RNAcentral describes it as "23S ribosomal RNA". It matches the Rfam family "Bacterial large subunit ribosomal RNA". RNAcentral also lists the same sequence under 3 other names. Lineage: Bacteria; Pseudomonadati; Pseudomonadota; Gammaproteobacteria; Enterobacterales; Enterobacteriaceae. The record is from RNAcentral.
GGUUAAGCGACUAAGCGUACACGGUGGAUGCCCUGGCAGUCAGAGGCGAUGAAGGACGUGCUAAUCUGCGAUAAGCGUCGGUGAGGUGAUAUGAACCGUUAUAACCGGCGAUUUCCGAAUGGGGAAACCCAGUGUGUUUCGACACACUAUCAUUAACUGAAUCCAUAGGUUAAUGAGGCGAACCGGGGGAACUGAAACAUCUAAGUACCCCGAGGAAAAGAAAUCAACCGAGAUUCCCCCAGUAGCGGCGAGCGAACGGGGAGGAGCCCAGAGCCUGAAUCAGUGUGUGUGUUAGUGGAAGCGUCUGGAAAGGCGUGCGAUACAGGGUGACAGCCCCGUACACAAAAAUGCACAUAUUGUGAGCUCGAUGAGUAGGGCGGGACACGUGGUAUCCUGUCUGAAUAUGGGGGGACCAUCCUCCAAGGCUAAAUACUCCUGACUGACCGAUAGUGAACCAGUACCGUGAGGGAAAGGCGAAAAGAACCCCGGCGAGGGGAGUGAAAAAGAACCUGAAACCGUGUACGUACAAGCAGUGGGAGCCUCUUAAUGGGGUGACUGCGUACCUUUUGUAUAAUGGGUCAGCGACUUAUAUUCUGUAGCAAGGUUAACCGAAUAGGGGAGCCGAAGGGAAACCGAGUCUUAACUGGGCGUUAAGUUGCAGGGUAUAGACCCGAAACCCGGUGAUCUAGCCAUGGGCAGGUUGAAGGUUGGGUAACACUAACUGGAGGACCGAACCGACUAAUGUUGAAAAAUUAGCGGAUGACUUGUGGCUGGGGGUGAAAGGCCAAUCAAACCGGGAGAUAGCUGGUUCUCCCCGAAAGCUAUUUAGGUAGCGCCUCGUGAAUUCAUCUCCGGGGGUAGAGCACUGUUUCGGCAAGGGGGUCAUCCCGACUUACCAACCCGAUGCAAACUGCGAAUACCGGAGAAUGUUAUCACGGGAGACACACGGCGGGUGCUAACGUCCGUCGUGAAGAGGGAAACAACCCAGACCGCCAGCUAAGGUCCCAAAGUCAUGGUUAAGUGGGAAACGAUGUGGGAAGGCCCAGACAGCCAGGAUGUUGGCUUAGAAGCAGCCAUCAUUUAAAGAAAGCGUAAUAGCUCACUGGUCGAGUCGGCCUGCGCGGAAGAUGUAACGGGGCUAAACCAUGCACCGAAGCUGCGGCAGCGACACUAUGUGUUGUUGGGUAGGGGAGCGUUCUGUAAGCCUGUGAAGGUGGCCUGUGAGGGUUGCUGGAGGUAUCAGAAGUGCGAAUGCUGACAUAAGUAACGAUAAAGCGGGUGAAAAGCCCGCUCGCCGGAAGACCAAGGGUUCCUGUCCAACGUUAAUCGGGGCAGGGUGAGUCGACCCCUAAGGCGAGGCCGAAAGGCGUAGUCGAUGGGAAACAGGUUAAUAUUCCUGUACUUGGUGUUACUGCGAAGGGGGGACGGAGAAGGCUAUGUUGGCCGGGCGACGGUUGUCCCGGUUUAAGCGUGUAGGCUGGUUUUCCAGGCAAAUCCGGAAAACCAAGGCUGAGGCGUGAUGACGAGGCACUACGGUGCUGAAGCGACAAAUGCCCUGCUUCCAGGAAAAGCCUCUAAGCAUCAGGUAACAUCAAAUCGUACCCCAAACCGACACAGGUGGUCAGGUAGAGAAUACCAAGGCGCUUGAGAGAACUCGGGUGAAGGAACUAGGCAAAAUGGUGCCGUAACUUCGGGAGAAGGCACGCUGAUAUGUAGGUGAAGCGACUUGCUCGUGGAGCUGAAAUCAGUCGAAGAUACCAGCUGGCUGCAACUGUUUAUUAAAAACACAGCACUGUGCAAACACGAAAGUGGACGUAUACGGUGUGACGCCUGCCCGGUGCCGGAAGGUUAAUUGAUGGGGUUAGCGGCAACGCGAAGCUCUUGAUCGAAGCCCCGGUAAACGGCGGCCGUAACUAUAACGGUCCUAAGGUAGCGAAAUUCCUUGUCGGGUAAGUUCCGACCUGCACGAAUGGCGUAAUGAUGGCCAGGCUGUCUCCACCCGAGACUCAGUGAAAUUGAACUCGCUGUGAAGAUGCAGUGUACCCGCGGCAAGACGGAAAGACCCCGUGAACCUUUACUAUAGCUUGACACUGAACAUUGAGCCUUGAUGUGUAGGAUAGGUGGGAGGCUUUGAAGUGUGGACGCCAGUCUGCAUGGAGCCGACCUUGAAAUACCACCCUUUAAUGUUUGAUGUUCUAACGUUGGCCCGUAAUCCGGGUUGCGGACAGUGUCUGGUGGGUAGUUUGACUGGGGCGGUCUCCUCCUAAAGAGUAACGGAGGAGCACGAAGGUUGGCUAAUCCUGGUCGGACAUCAGGAGGUUAGUGCAAUGGCAUAAGCCAGCUUGACUGCGAGCGUGACGGCGCGAGCAGGUGCGAAAGCAGGUCAUAGUGAUCCGGUGGUUCUGAAUGGAAGGGCCAUCGCUCAACGGAUAAAAGGUACUCCGGGGAUAACAGGCUGAUACCGCCCAAGAGUUCAUAUCGACGGCGGUGUUUGGCACCUCGAUGUCGGCUCAUCACAUCCUGGGGCUGAAGUAGGUCCCAAGGGUAUGGCUGUUCGCCAUUUAAAGUGGUACGCGAGCUGGGUUUAGAACGUCGUGAGACAGUUCGGUCCCUAUCUGCCGUGGGCGCUGGAGAACUGAGGGGGGCUGCUCCUAGUACGAGAGGACCGGAGUGGACGCAUCACUGGUGUUCGGGUUGUCAUGCCAAUGGCACUGCCCGGUAGCUAAAUGCGGAAGAGAUAAGUGCUGAAAGCAUCUAAGCACGAAACUUGCCCCGAGAUGAGUUCUCCCUGACUCCUUGAGAGUCCUGAAGGAACGUUGAAGACGACGACGUUGAUAGGCCGGGUGUGUAAGCGCAGCGAUGCGUUGAGCUAACCGGUACUAAUGAACCGUGAGGCUUAACCUU